GCUUUAGUGUAAGUAUAUCCCGUCCAAUAUUUGGGAUAUACUUAUACUAAAA
This 52-nucleotide microRNA precursor is filed under the name Mustela putorius furo (domestic ferret). RNAcentral describes it as "mir-1302 microRNA precursor family". It matches the Rfam family "mir-1302 microRNA precursor family". The record is from Rfam by way of RNAcentral. Lineage: Eukaryota; Metazoa; Chordata; Mammalia; Carnivora; Mustelidae. RNAcentral also lists the same sequence under 2 other names.